RNAcentral lists this ribosomal RNA (342 nucleotides) under uncultured bacterium. RNAcentral's name for it is "bacterial SSU rRNA". It matches the Rfam family "Bacterial small subunit ribosomal RNA", at positions 1 to 334 of the family's 1533-position model. The record is from RNAcentral.
CUGUACAGUUCAGAGUUUGAUCCUGGCUCAGAGUGAACGCUGGCGGCAGGCCUAACACAUGCAAGUCGAACGGCAGCGGGUAGGAAGCUUGCUUCCUAUGCCGGCGAGUGGCGACGGGUGAGGAGCGCAUCGGAAUCUACUCCGUCGUGGGGGAUAACGUAGGGAAACUUACGCUAAUACCGCAUACGACCUAAGGGUGAAAUGGGGGACCGCAAGGCCUCACGCGAUGGAAUGAGCCGAUGUCCGAUUAGCUAGUUGGCGGGGUAAAGGCCCACCCAAGGCGACGAUCGGUAGCUGGUCUGAGGGGAUGAUCAGCCACACUGGGACUGAGACACGGCCCAG